GCACGAGAGACGCGCGCACACGCACUGUAGAAGCGCGCUAAACAAGACACGCGGAAUAUAAUGGGUCACGUAUCGAUUUGAGUCUCAUUUCUGGACAGAUGUAAAUUCAUGAUGCAGGUUCUGCCUCCUUGUGGCCACGCGGUGCACGAAGACAUCCCUGAUAAAGUGGUAGAUGCUCUGGCUUGUUUUAUGAUCAGACACAAAUUUGCUGAAGCUCGAAAUGAAACUAAAAAGUUCCUCACAUCCGUUCAUGCGGUGAGUUGAGGGCUUCAAUCACUUUUCUUACAGAUUCAAUGAUCAACAUCUUAAAGGUGCAGUGUGUAAAUUUUGGCGGCAUCUAGUGGUGAGGUUGCAAAUUGCAACCAACGGCUCAGUCCACUGCUCACCCCUCGCUUUUGAAACACAAAGAGAAGCUACGGUAGCCAUCACCGGACAAACAUGUCAUCGUCGAGGAAACUAAGUAAAAAAGUUUGUCCGUUAAGGGCUUCUGUAGAAACAUGGCGGCACAAAAUGGCGACUUCCAUGUAAGGGGACCCUCGGUGUAUGUGGAUAAAAACAUCUCAUUCUAAGGUAGUAAAUACAUAACGAUUCAUUAUGAAAAGUCUUUAUACACCCCUAAUAAUAUAGUUUUGUAUAUUAUUUUGCAUUUCUGUCAAGAGAUCCUUCUAAAAAUUACACACUGCACCUUUAAAGUUUGAACUUCUCUUCUUCUUCUCAGAUGAAGAACAUGAAAAUGUUUCCUUACUAACAUUUCACAGUAAUUAAAACCAAGACUUCAACUUUCUACUUUACUCAUCUGACUGUAGGUUUAAGGUUUUGAAUGUACAAUAGUUGACUCAAUGUUAGAGAUUGAUGAAAGAUGUAAUGUAGUGGAAUUGUAUGAGGACAGAAUGGAGGACUAAACUGCAUGUUUGCAAUGUAACAUCAUUAAAGGAUUUCAA
Molecule: non-coding RNA, 941 nt
Organism: Misgurnus anguillicaudatus (oriental weatherfish)
Lineage: Eukaryota; Metazoa; Chordata; Actinopteri; Cypriniformes; Cobitidae
Source: RefSeq, a predicted model, not a curated record